This 499-nucleotide ribosomal RNA is filed under the name uncultured bacterium. Its description in RNAcentral is "partial 16S ribosomal RNA". It matches the Rfam family "Bacterial small subunit ribosomal RNA", at positions 28 to 507 of the family's 1533-position model. The record is from RNAcentral.
GAUGAACGCUGGCGGCGUGCCUAAUACAUGCAAGUCGAGCGAACAGACGAGAGUGCUUGCACUCUCUGACGUUAGCGGCGGACGGGUGAGUAACACGUGGGUAACCUACCUAUAAGACUGGGAUAACUUCGGGAAACCGGAGCUAAUACCGGAUAAUAUUUAGCUUCGCAUGAAGCAAUAGUGAAAGACGGUUCUGCUGUCACUUAUAGAUGGACCCGCGGUGUAUUAGCUAGUUGGUGAGGUAACGGCUCACCAAGGCAACGAUACAUAGCCGACCUGAGAGGGUGAUCGGCCACACUGGGACUGAGACACGACCCAGACUCCUACGGGAGGCAGCAGUAGGGAAUCUUCCGCAAUGGACGAAAGUCUGACGGAGCAAUGCCGCGUGAGUGAAGAAGGUUUUCGGAUCGUAAAACUCUGUUGUAAGGGAAGAACAAGUACGUUAGUAACUGAACGUACCUUGACGGUACCUUACCAGAAAGCCACGGCUAACUACGUG